UCAUCAUUUUUAUUUGGACAGCAAGCUGGCAGGAUCAUUAUCACACUGGGAAAAGUGCUUAGAAGCAUUUCCUCUUGCUUUAUGCUCUGAGUUCAAAUUCCAUCAAGGCUAACUUUGCAUUUCAUCAUUUUAGGGUUGAUAAAAU
Molecule: long non-coding RNA, 145 nt
Organism: Octopus sinensis (East Asian common octopus)
Lineage: Eukaryota; Metazoa; Mollusca; Cephalopoda; Octopoda; Octopodidae
Exons: 3
Source: RefSeq, a predicted model, not a curated record